This 62-nucleotide ribosomal RNA is filed under the name Candidatus Bathyarchaeota archaeon. RNAcentral's name for it is "partial 16S ribosomal RNA". It matches the Rfam family "Bacterial small subunit ribosomal RNA", at positions 1476 to 1533 of the family's 1533-position model. The record is from RNAcentral. Lineage: Archaea; Thermoproteati; Candidatus Bathyarchaeota.
GGGGGAAAAGUCGUAACAAGGUGGCCGUAGGGGAACCUGCGGCCGGAUCACCUCCUAAGUAA